GUGAAGCGGUAACAGCUCAAAUUUGAAAUCUGGGUCUUUCAGGCUCCGAGUUGUAAUUUGUAGAAGAUGCUUUGGGUGCGGCCCCGGUCUAAGUUCCUUGGAACAGGACGUCAUAGAGGGUGAGAAUCCCGUAUGUGAUCGGUGGCUUGCGCCCGUGUAAAGCUCUUUCGACGAGUCGGGUUGUUUGGGAAUGCAGCUCUAAAUGGGUGGUAAAUUUCAUCUAAAGCUAAAUAUUGGCCAGAGACCGAUAGCGCACAAGUAGAGUGAUCGAAAGAUGAAAAGGACUUUGGAAAGAGAGUUAAACAGUACGUGAAAUUGUUGAAAGGGAAGCGCUUGCAACCAGACUUGCGCGGGGUUGAUCAUCCGGGGUUCUCCCCGGUGCACUCGGCCUCGCUCAGGCCAGCAUCGGUUUCGGUGGUUGGAUAAAGGCCUUGGGAAUGUGACUUCUUUCGGGGAGUGUUAUAGCCCUCGGUGCAAUGCAGCCUACCGGGACCGAGGACCGCGCUUCGGCUAGGAUGCUGGCGUAAUGGUUGUAAGCGACCCGUCUUGAAACACGGACCAAGGAGUCUAACAUCUAUGCGAGUGUUUGGGUGUCAAACCCAUACGCGUAAUGAAAGUGAACGGAGGUGAGAACCCUUAAGGGUGCAUCAUCGACCGAUCCUGAUGUCUUCGGAUGGAUUUGAGUAAGAGCAUAGCUGUUGGGACCCGAAAGAUGGUGAACUAUGCCUGAAUAGGGUGAAGCCAGAGGAAACUCUGGUGGAGGCUCGCAGCGGUUCUGACGUGCAAAUCGAUCGUCAAAUUUGGGCAUA
This 809-nucleotide ribosomal RNA is filed under the name Pezicula sporulosa. RNAcentral describes it as "eukaryotic LSU rRNA". It matches the Rfam family "Eukaryotic large subunit ribosomal RNA", at positions 93 to 919 of the family's 3401-position model. The record is from RNAcentral. Lineage: Eukaryota; Fungi; Ascomycota; Leotiomycetes; Helotiales; Dermateaceae.